Molecule: ribosomal RNA, 427 nt
Filed under: uncultured bacterium
Lineage: Bacteria
Description: partial 16S ribosomal RNA
Rfam family: Bacterial small subunit ribosomal RNA
Source: RNAcentral
UGGGGAAUAUUGGACAAUGGGCGAAAGCCUGAUCCAGCCAUGCCGCGUGUGUGAAGAAGGUCUUCGGAUUGUAAAGCACUUUAAGUUGGGAGGAAGGGCAUUAACCUAAUACGUUAGUGUUUUGACGUUACCGACAGAAUAAGCACCGGCUAACUCUGUGCCAGCAGCCGCGGUAAUACAGAGGGUGCAAGCGUUAAUCGGAAUUACUGGGCGUAAAGCGCGCGUAGGUGGUUUGUUAAGUUGGAUGUGAAAUCCCCGGGCUCAACCUGAGAACUGCAUUCAAAACUGACUGACUAGAGUAUGGUAGAGGGUGGUGGAAUUUCCUGUGUAGCGGUGAAAUGCGUAGAUAUAGGAAGGAACACCAGUGGCGAAGGCGACCACCUGGACUAAUACUGACACUGAGGUGCGAAAGCGUGGUGAGCAAACA